GGGUUGUGAGGUUAAGCGACUAAGCGUACACGGUGGAUGCCCUGGCAGUCAGAGGCGAUGAAGGACGUGCUAAUCUGCGAUAAGCGUCGGUAAGGUGAUAUGAACCGUUAUAACCGGCGAUUUCCGAAUGGGGAAACCCAGUGUGAUUCGUCACACUAUCAUUAACUGAAUCCAUAGGUUAAUGAGGCGAACCGGGGGAACUGAAACAUCUAAGUACCCCGAGGAAAAGAAAUCAACCGAGAUUCCCCCAGUAGCGGCGAGCGAACGGGGAGCAGCCCAGAGCCUGAAUCAGUGUGUGUGUUAGUGGAAGCGUCUGGAAAGGCGCGCGAUACAGGGUGACAGCCCCGUACACAAAAAUGCACAUAUUGUGAGCUCGAUGAGUAGGGCGGGACACGUGGUAUCCUGUCUGAAUAUGGGGGGCCCAUCCUCCAAGGCUAAAUACUCCUGACUGACCGAUAGUGAACCAGUACCGUGAGGGAAAGGCGAAAAGAACCCCGGCGAGGGGAGUGAAAAAGAACCUGAAACCGUGUACGUACAAGCAGUGGGAGCACGCUUAGGCGUGUGACUGCGUACCUUUUGUAUAAUGGGUCAGCGACUUAUAUUCUGUAGCAAGGUUAACCGAAUAGGGGAGCCGAAGGGAAACCGAGUCUUAACUGGGCGUUAAGUUGCAGGGUAUAGACCCGAAACCCGGUGAUCUAGCCAUGGGCAGGUUGAAGGUUGGGUAACACUAACUGGAGGACCGAACCGACUAAUGUUGAAAAAUUAGCGGAUGACUUGUGGCUGGGGGUGAAAGGCCAAUCAAACCGGGAGAUAGCUGGUUCUCCCCGAAAGCUAUUUAGGUAGCGCCUCGUGAAUUCAUCUCCGGGGGUAGAGCACUGUUUCGGCAAGGGGGUCAUCCCGACUUACCAACCCGAUGCAAACUGCGAAUACCGGAGAAUGUUAUCACGGGAGACACACGGCGGGUGCUAACGUCCGUCGUGAAGAGGGAAACAACCCAGACCGCCAGCUAAGGUCCCAAAGUCAUGGUUAAGUGGGAAACGAUGUGGGAAGGCCCAGACAGCCAGGAUGUUGGCUUAGAAGCAGCCAUCAUUUAAAGAAAGCGUAAUAGCUCACUGGUCGAGUCGGCCUGCGCGGAAGAUGUAACGGGGCUAAACCAUGCACCGAAGCUGCGGCAGCGACGCUUAUGCGUUGUUGGGUAGGGGAGCGUUCUGUAAGCCUGCGAAGGUGUGCUGUGAGGCAUGCUGGAGGUAUCAGAAGUGCGAAUGCUGACAUAAGUAACGAUAAAGCGGGUGAAAAGCCCGCUCGCCGGAAGACCAAGGGUUCCUGUCCAACGUUAAUCGGGGCAGGGUGAGUCGACCCCUAAGGCGAGGCCGAAAGGCGUAGUCGAUGGGAAACAGGUUAAUAUUCCUGUACUUGGUGUUACUGCGAAGGGGGGACGGAGAAGGCUAUGUUGGCCGGGCGACGGUUGUCCCGGUUUAAGCGUGUAGGCUGGUUUUCCAGGCAAAUCCGGAAAAUCAAGGCUGAGGCGUGAUGACGAGGCACUACGGUGCUGAAGCAACAAAUGCCCUGCUUCCAGGAAAAGCCUCUAAGCAUCAGGUAACAUCAAAUCGUACCCCAAACCGACACAGGUGGUCAGGUAGAGAAUACCAAGGCGCUUGAGAGAACUCGGGUGAAGGAACUAGGCAAAAUGGUGCCGUAACUUCGGGAGAAGGCACGCUGAUAUGUAGGUGAAGUCCCUUGCGGAUGGAGCUGAAAUCAGUCGAAGAUACCAGCUGGCUGCAACUGUUUAUUAAAAACACAGCACUGUGCAAACACGAAAGUGGACGUAUACGGUGUGACGCCUGCCCGGUGCCGGAAGGUUAAUUGAUGGGGUCAGCGCAAGCGAAGCUCUUGAUCGAAGCCCCGGUAAACGGCGGCCGUAACUAUAACGGUCCUAAGGUAGCGAAAUUCCUUGUCGGGUAAGUUCCGACCUGCACGAAUGGCGUAAUGAUGGCCAGGCUGUCUCCACCCGAGACUCAGUGAAAUUGAACUCGCUGUGAAGAUGCAGUGUACCCGCGGCAAGACGGAAAGACCCCGUGAACCUUUACUAUAGCUUGACACUGAACAUUGAGCCUUGAUGUGUAGGAUAGGUGGGAGGCUUUGAAGUGUGGACGCCAGUCUGCAUGGAGCCGGCCUUGAAAUACCACCCUUUAAUGUUUGAUGUUCUAACGUGGACCCGUGAUCCGGGUUGCGGACAGUGUCUGGUGGGUAGUUUGACUGGGGCGGUCUCCUCCUAAAGAGUAACGGAGGAGCACGAAGGUUGGCUAAUCCUGGUCGGACAUCAGGAGGUUAGUGCAAUGGCAUAAGCCAGCUUGACUGCGAGCGUGACGGCGCGAGCAGGUGCGAAAGCAGGUCAUAGUGAUCCGGUGGUUCUGAAUGGAAGGGCCAUCGCUCAACGGAUAAAAGGUACUCCGGGGAUAACAGGCUGAUACCGCCCAAGAGUUCAUAUCGACGGCGGUGUUUGGCACCUCGAUGUCGGCUCAUCACAUCCUGGGGCUGAAGUAGGUCCCAAGGGUAUGGCUGUUCGCCAUUUAAAGUGGUACGCGAGCUGGGUUUAGAACGUCGUGAGACAGUUCGGUCCCUAUCUGCCGUGGGCGCUGGAGAACUGAGGGGGCUGCUCCUAGUACGAGAGGACCGGAGUGGACGCAUCACUGGUGUUCGGGUUGUCAUGCCAAUGGCACUGCCCGGUAGCUAAAUGCGGAAGAGAUAAGUGCUGAAAGCAUCUAAGCACGAAACUUGCCCCGAGAUGAGUUCUCCCUGACCCUUUAAGGGUCCUGAAGGAACGUUGAAGACGACGACGUUGAUAGGCCGGGUGUGUAAGCGCAGCGAUGCGUUGAGCUAACCGGUACUAAUGAACCGUGAGGCUUAACCUUACAACGCCGAAG
This 2924-nucleotide ribosomal RNA is filed under the name Shigella sonnei. RNAcentral's name for it is "bacterial LSU rRNA". It matches the Rfam family "Bacterial large subunit ribosomal RNA". Lineage: Bacteria; Pseudomonadati; Pseudomonadota; Gammaproteobacteria; Enterobacterales; Enterobacteriaceae. The record is from RNAcentral.